UCAUGAGCACAAACUCUUCUCCCAUGAAAAUUAAUCAUGGUUCGUGUAAUGAACUAAGUUAUUCACUGAACUGUAUUUACUGUGUACAUAGUAGGUUAAAUCAAGGUGGGCGUAGAAGAUUGAUUCCACCUUAUAUACAAAACGUCAACAUUGUAAACUGUGUAAAUAGAAGGUUUGCUAGAUCGAAAAAUAAAAUCGUUCGUUCUUUUUAGAACCGACUAGCUAACAGUUAACACCGUCUUUUCGAUUCGCUCCGUUCAAUCAAAAGUAAAAUUAAUAAGUUUCAGUGGCGACGAGGAUUAAUUGGGUUUUUUUUUCGCGUGUGGUAGCUGUCCGCGAGUGUUAAGAAAGGUAUUUUUUUGCUGCGCUGGAGCGUACAGGCAAUAUUAUCAGCGACAUCAUCUGGUGCAGGUUCCGGAGGAUUUUCUCGAUCUGCUUGGAUCCGGCAAGGUGACCAUUUUUUGGUACCGCGUGGUUUCGCAAUUUGGACAAAAAUCCAGCGCCGGUCGUGAGUGACGUUAAAAAAAAAAAAAAGAAAAAUCAUCGGCCAAAUUGUGGCGUGAGGAAAUUUCGUGGCAAAUUGAAGCCAUCCGGAAACCGCAAGCGAGUCGCUUGAAUCUUGAAUCUAUUGGCAAGCGUGUUGAUCUGGCAAGUGUUCCAUGCCUAUUGCGGCGGUUAUUGUCAUCCGGACGAAAGCAGUUUUAUAGAGCAGGAACGUGAUUUAGAAACCCUUGGCCGUUGUGCAAGUUUACGGAUUAUUUGGCGUAUUCCGGUACUGAAGAUCGCGAUCGGCUCAGCAUUGAUCUCGGCCCACAGGGGGCAGAUUAGAAUCGCUGACAAAACAGAACACAGGCGCAAUGUGGCGCUUCAGAUGGAGGGAUACACAUCUAGGCCUAAUCAAGGCAAAAAGAGACAAUACGAGGACUCCGAAGACGACGAACCAUUCCGGGGAUUCUCCGUGGUACCGCCUCCGGCUAGAAGCGAGGCACAUCCAGAUGUUUUGCGAGAAAAAGACCCUGCGGGAUCGAAUCAUGAAAUCAAUCCAAAUGGUACAACGAGAAAUCGCUUGCGAAGAUCAACACGAGCAAGAAAAAAGAAGUUUGAUGGGAAUUAUUUGUAUUUUAAAUAAUAUGAUUGCUUUGUUUGAAUUGAGAUAUUCAGUCGAGAAGUUAAAUUAAUAGGAAGAUAGUUUCCAUUCUGAAAAGUAAUAAUAUUGUAAGAAACAAGAAUUACUUAGAAGUUUAGUAGACUGUUCGAAUUGCUUAAAGGGAAAGGUAUUGUAAUGAACUAAGUUAUUCACUGAACUGUAUUUACUGUGUACAUAGUAGGUUAAAUCAAGGUGGGCGUAGAAGAUUGAUUCCACCUUAUAUACAAAACGUCAACAUUGUAAACUGUGUAAAUAGAAGGUUUGCUAGAUCGAAAAAUAAAAUCGUUCGUUCUUUUUAGAACCGACUAGCUAACAGUUAA
Malaya genurostris is the source of this 1467-nucleotide long non-coding RNA. RefSeq lists it as uncharacterized. NCBI's taxonomy places the organism in Eukaryota, Metazoa, Arthropoda, Insecta, Diptera, Culicidae. The record is from RefSeq and is a predicted model, not a curated record. The transcript has 3 exons.